This 254-nucleotide ribosomal RNA is filed under the name uncultured bacterium. Its description in RNAcentral is "partial 16S ribosomal RNA". It matches the Rfam family "Bacterial small subunit ribosomal RNA", at positions 524 to 776 of the family's 1533-position model. The record is from RNAcentral.
UACGUAGGGUCCAAGCGUUAUCCGGAAUCACUGGGCGUAAAGCGUACGUAGGCGGUUCGUUAAGUGAGAUGCGAAAUCUUGUGGCUCAACCAUAUAGAUGUUGUCUCAUACUGGCGAGCUUGAGGAUGGCAGAGGCAAGUGGAAUUACUAGUGUAGCAGUGAAAUGCGUAGAUAUUAGUAGGAACACCAAUGGCGAAGGCAGCUUGCUGGGCCAUAUCUGACGCUGAGGUACGAAAGCGUGGGGAGCGAACAGG